CCAAUAGCGUAUAUUAAAGUUGUUGCAGUUAAAAAGCUCGUAGUUGAAUUUCGGGACCAAUAUGUCGGUCGUACUUUGUACGUACUAGCAUUAUUGGUUUCUCCCUUCUGAAGAACCGCGAUGUCAUUAAUUUGGUGUCGUGGGGAAUCAGGACUGUUACUUUGAAAAAAUUAGAGUGUUUAAAGCAGGCUCGCGCUUGA
Molecule: ribosomal RNA, 200 nt
Filed under: uncultured Glomus
Lineage: Eukaryota; Fungi; Glomeromycota; Glomeromycetes; Glomerales; Glomeraceae
Description: partial small subunit ribosomal RNA
Rfam family: Eukaryotic small subunit ribosomal RNA
Source: RNAcentral